Molecule: long non-coding RNA, 1369 nt
Filed under: Homo sapiens (human)
Lineage: Eukaryota; Metazoa; Chordata; Mammalia; Primates; Hominidae
Description: HSALNT0026037
Source: RNAcentral
CCCAGGUCUCUAGCUGUCUGAAUGGAGGAACAUUGCUAGACUGCUGUGGUUUCGAUGAGGCAGGAGAAGAGUUUUGUGCAGUAGAGAAAUACAGAGAGGCCGAGUGCAGUGGCUCACAUCUGUAAUCCCAGCACUUUGGGAGGCCAGGUAAGAGCAUCGCUUGAUGCUGUUUGCUCGAUUGCUUGAAACCCAGUUCAAGACCAGCCUGGGUAAUAUGGCGAAACCCCAUCUCUACUAAAAAUACAAAAAUUAUCUGGGUGUGGUGGUGUAUGCUGGCAGUCCCAGCUACUCAGGAAGCUGAGGUUGGAGGAUCACUUGAACCCUGGAAGUUGAGGCCUGGACAACAGAGUGAGACCCUGUCUCAAAAUAAAUAAAUAAAUACAGAAAAAUAAAUACAGGUAUAUUUGUAAACAACAAAACCUCCUGAAAGGAAAAGGUGUGGUUAAGGAUGGAGUGUUCCUUUGAAGAAUGGGAUGAAGAUUUGCAUCUUGGCUCUGCUGCUUUAUAUUGCAACCCCUCAGUCAAGUAGGAAUCAUUAGUUUCCUCGUCUGUAAUAUGGGGCAGAUAAUCUUUCCUGGGGCUUUUGUGGGCAUUAAGUGAACUAUCCAAUGCAAUGUGCUAAGCAAGAGCCUGACAUAGCAUGGGUGCUCAGCUGACGCCUCCCUCAUUCUCUAGGCAACCUACACACCAAGCCAGGUGAUGACCACCAUUUCCCUCAAAACCAUACUCCUCAUACUCCUCUUUCUCUGCUGUUGCUGUAAGCUAUUUAUUGACUUGUGAUAUUCUUUAUUUUAUUUUAUUUUUAAUCUUUUUAGGUUCUUUGCUGUUUCCAACUGAAGCUAGACAUUUUCCUACUCCCAUGAGUACAAGUUUCUUUCUCUAAAAUUAAAUUAGUAAAAGGUUUUUUUUAAAAAAGUUACACUUCUUAAGUGUAACACAUUCACAAAGUAUAAAAAAUUAUUAGUGUACUUUUGUAUAUUUUUGACCACACCUGAAACAUUGCCUUAGGGUGGUGUCCAAUGCAGUUUACCCAAUUCCAUUUUUAGUCUAGCCCAUCUGUUCUUCCUCCCGCUGCUUCUCCUGUAGCCUUGCCCACAUAACCUUUAUUCUUGGCCUUCUCUGCAUUCUGUGCCACCCUAGUCCCCUCCAGAAUGAGCCAGUGCCCCUACUGCUUGUGGGGAGCAUUCACAAAGAAUAAGCAGUUGCCAUGAUUCAUUUUUUGUUUCAGAUCUUAGACCUGAAUCGUCUGUUUCAUUCUAUCUUGCUCUCUGCUUCCACUUUUCCUAAUUUCCUGGACUCCUUAACUCCUGCUUUACACCUGAUGUUCUUCUCCUGGCCCCUUGUUUUGGAAAUCCAAAUAUACUGCUCC